Molecule: long non-coding RNA, 1251 nt
Organism: Leopardus geoffroyi (Geoffroy's cat)
Lineage: Eukaryota; Metazoa; Chordata; Mammalia; Carnivora; Felidae
Exons: 2
Source: RefSeq, a predicted model, not a curated record
GAUGGCAGCCCACAGGGCCAGUGAGGGGGGGGGGAGACCACCCGCGUCUAUCCCAGCAUGAAGCACGUAGGGGGUCUGCAUUUACUUCUGUUCCUUUGAUUGGUUUUUUUUCCGGCCAGGUUUCCUCAUCCGUCAUUGGUAUGUGUGUUUCUGUGUUCCUUUGUUUCCUUUCUUAUUUUUGCGUGGUUGCUGUUCCAGCCUUCUGUUUCUCUCACGUAGAGUGAGGUGGAAUGCUCCAUGCCAUUUGUCACUCCUUCUCUGACCGCUUUUAUGUCCCCUCUUCUGAGGUGCAAUUUGGCAUGUAGGUGGGGGGGGGCGUGGUUUGCAGCCACAGCCACAUUUCAGUGCCUGGUGGCUUGGCAGGGACGACACAGGCGAGUUUCUGGGGCUUCUGCACAGACUUUGUUCGCAAAGCUGCCUUCUCUUCUGAGAUUAUGUGAAAUGUCCUGCUCCAGGUUUCAUCCCACUUCAUUCAUAGUGUUUCUAACUACUGUAUGGAUCCCCCAGGCUCUUUUGGUCAUUCUUUCCAAUCUUGUGGAGCUCUGGAAAAGGACUAACAUCCCGAGAGCCCGGAGGUGGGGAAGGGGAAAAUGCAAGUCCACGGAAUUUGAAACCAGCGUCCGCCAAGCAGGCUGCGGGCAGCAAAGGAAACAACAGGAUCCCAGGCUAUGGGGCUGCCUCGUCGUUCCGAAACGGUGGCCCAGCAUCACCCACACAACACCUCUGCAAGCCUUUAGUCCCGGAGACAACUUCCUCUUGGCCUCACCCAGAGCCAAAGAAACAGAGGCCUGCUUUCAACUCAACUGACAUCUGAGAAAAAGAAAUCCUUUCAUUUCUGUUUAGAAGCCUCCACCCUCAAAACUAAUCUGUCUACUCACGCUCAGGUCACAAAGGUGACUUCCCUGGCUGUCACCUCAGCAAGACCUUGCAAAGGCCCCACAUCCUCUGAUUUCUCUGCCUAUUCCUUCGACAGGUGCACAGCAGUCUAUCUUUCCCUGCAAAAGAAACUUUUCCCAACGCAGUAACCAGCAAUUUUGGCAUUUGGGGCUAGGAAUAUGAAAAGUGUCCUUUGCAAAGUGAAAAGUGGGAGGAGAGCGGCCCCCACGCAGGCAAAGCCCCCUCCGUGCACCAUGACAUCGGUGGUAGCUGACACAGCCAGAGGGUCACCUUGCCACCCCAGCCAGAGAGCUGCCUUGGGGAGGGAUGUCGCAUGGUAAAGCAUUUCCUCGGGAAUUAACGGCUUACAACCUG